Molecule: unclassified non-coding RNA, 328 nt
Filed under: Hevea brasiliensis (rubber tree)
Lineage: Eukaryota; Viridiplantae; Streptophyta; Magnoliopsida; Malpighiales; Euphorbiaceae
Source: RNAcentral
UAUUUCUCAGUUCCUUCACUUCCCAAGCUAGGAUCUUCAAGGCGCAGAAUCAACCCUUCUUAUUCCCUUUGGUAGUCUCCAAGAGCUCUAAAUGUUACUCCUCUAGCUUGUCCACCACAAGCUCACCAAGGUUCACCAAUGGCAGCCCCAAAUCUCCCUUUGACUUGCUUGCCAACCACUUGAACUUUUGAGGUUUUGCUUUAGGUGAGGUUAUAUGGAUGUAUUGUGACUAGAAACCCUUUCUAGCACUAUCAAUUCAAGAGAAACCAAGCUUUAUCUUUCAAGAAUCAAUGAAAAACAAGAAGAAGAAGAGAGAGAGGGAGGGUUG